This 407-nucleotide ribosomal RNA is filed under the name uncultured bacterium. RNAcentral describes it as "bacterial SSU rRNA". It matches the Rfam family "Bacterial small subunit ribosomal RNA", at positions 29 to 433 of the family's 1533-position model. The record is from RNAcentral.
AUUGAACGCUGGCGGCAUGCCUAACACAUGCAAGUCGAACGGCAGCACGGCAGUAGCAAUACUGUGGGUGGCGAGUGGCGGACGGGUGAGGAAUACGUCGGAAUCUGCCCAAUCGUGGGGGAUAACUAACCGAAAGGUUAGCUAAUACCGCAUACGACCGAGAGGUGAAAGCGGGGGACCGCAAGGCCUCGCGCGAUUGGAUGAGCCGACGUCGGAUUAACUUGUUGGUGGGGUAAAGGCCUACCAAGGCAACGAUCCGUAGCUGGUCUGAGAGGAUGAUCAGCCACACUGGAACUGAGACACGGUCCAGACUCCUAUGGGAGGCAGCAGUGGGGAAUAUUGGACAAUGGGCGGAAGCCUGAUCCAGCAAUGCCGCGUGUGUGAAGAAGGCCUCGGUUGUAAGGUAC